CAAUCAUAAGACAUAUGUUGACAAAAAUUGAAAAUUGUUUUUUUUUUUUGUAUAUUCUUUGUUUUCUUUGGAAUUUCCGGAGUCUUGAUCACGGUAGAGGAGGAGUAAAGAAAGUAUCAGCUGAUGUUAUGUAAACAAAGGCACAGCUGAGAGGUGCCACUGUAGAAACGCCAAGUGUAGUCCGGGGUUGAGUUUCUAUUUGAAUCCAAGAUGGCCGACUUUUAACCAAGAUGGCCGACUUUUUACCGGAAAAUGGUUGCAUUGUGUUAUUUUCUUAAAAUUUAUGGAAAAGUUGUCCCAAAAAUAUUGGUUAUAUAUAAAACUUUAAUAUAUUUUCAAAAGAAAAUCGUUUUAUUUUAAUAUAUAUUCUUAAAGAUGAGAACAAUAUGAGCAAAUACAUGAAAAAUUAAGUUUUUUAUUUAUGCCUCUUUUUAACUGUGGUAAGCUAAUGAAUGUUCACCACAGAAAAAUGUUACGAACAAAUAAGCAACCAUGCCAAAUAGUGGGGUCCAGAUUAUGCUCAUUCACAGCCAUAUUUACAUUUUUGCCAUCGUAACGAAGGUUUUUGCAAAGACAAUUUGUUUUAGUUUAUUUCAUGGUUAAAUCCUUUGCGAUGGUUUAUUUAGUUAUUUUAAUCUAUAAAAAGUGUUUACAAUUUUCAUGGGACGAUAAACAUCAGAUCGGCUGCGAUUUUAUUCCAAUAAAAGUACGAAAUAACCAAACAUGGCCACGUUAAUAUUGCUGCGUAAUGGGUCUGGUGCUGUUACAAUUUUAUGAUUUAAGAGAUAGUCAAAUAUAGUUAUCAAAUUAGUUGGCCGUGAAUUCGAGACAAAAUUUUAAAUUCAAUAGCGUUCUCGUGUAAGAGAUCGUAUUGCUAGAAUCAGCAAAGGAGCUGGUGUAGAACGCUAGUCCCAAACCAAUGAGCUUUGUGCUUGAGGGUGGAAGCAACUUUUUGAAGAGCAAAUACUACGGUGAGCACAUUCGGAUGUUGCAUAACCUAUUGUAAAUUGCGCUUAGAAUCCCGGUACUGCUGGUCAGGUUUAUCAGGCUGUUGGGCCAAAGCGUUACCAGUUGAGCGAAUUAAUUGACUGGUUUCAUCGUGUUAUGCGCAAAGAUGAAAAAUGGUGGGGAUACCGUCAUUGAGACAUGUGUUGUGAUCCUACCUUCUUAUUGAAAGCCAAGUUCACGAAUGUAUUACCGAUGUCGUUCCCUCCAACAUACCGUGGUUGAAGAAUUUUGGUGUACAAUCAAUGGAAGAGCAAGUACCAUGAGAAUUAUGACCAUAUUGUGCUGCGCAAUAUUAUGAUGCCGAAUUGGGGAGUGGGGGGAACCAGCUCCACCAAAACCGAUAGAACAUCGGGAUGAACUACGCAAAUAAUAAACAACACUCAUCAAAUGAAAGUUGGCAGCGUUGGUGACUAAGCAGCAAUUUGAAAAAGAAACAUUUGCAUCUACGCGAAUUACAAUUUGUCUUUACAUCUAGUGAAUUAUGGUCGAUUAUGAAUGGUGUGGAAGUUGAUAUUUAAACUUUAAAAAACAAAUAAAUGUAAUUUGGCUAAUAUUGAUAUUUAAACUUUAAAAAACAAAUAAAUGUAAUUUGGCUAAUAAUGAGCCGCUAUUAAAAGUUAAGGAAUUUGAGUUGUAUUUUUAAUUGGGCCAAACAAGUUAUUAUCGAUUUGAAUAACUUCAAAAGGAAUAUAUUUCGAACAAUCAUUUAUUUUUGUAAAUACUAUGGCGGUAUCGCUACUGAGCAUGGCAAAAUAGUGUUGCGUGAGCUAAUUUAAACUACUUUUUACUACUAUAUAGAUAUUGCAAAUUCAAAAAAUAAUUUCUUUAAGAAUCCUUUUUAUUUAAAAACUUAGCUUAGAACUAAAAAAUAGUGUGGUAAAUCUGUUGGGAUAAUCAAACACUCCAUUUGGGAAUGAGUAGGAUUCCUGAUCGCCGGCGUAUAGCUAAAUUCUGACAUUUAAAACGUGUACGUAGUUUGUGAUUACAAAAAUUUAUAAUUAAAAUAUAGAAAACAUGGCUAUUAUAAUUAUCUCUUGAUUUAUCUUACAAUAAAAAAUGUGUUUUACUGUUCAGACGAAUUGUUAU
Bactrocera dorsalis (oriental fruit fly) is the source of this 2094-nucleotide long non-coding RNA. RefSeq lists it as uncharacterized. The transcript has 3 exons. NCBI's taxonomy places the organism in Eukaryota, Metazoa, Arthropoda, Insecta, Diptera, Tephritidae. The record is from RefSeq and is a predicted model, not a curated record.